This 697-nucleotide ribosomal RNA is filed under the name Pseudomonas sp. CL7. RNAcentral's name for it is "bacterial SSU rRNA". It matches the Rfam family "Bacterial small subunit ribosomal RNA", at positions 8 to 700 of the family's 1533-position model. Lineage: Bacteria; Pseudomonadati; Pseudomonadota; Gammaproteobacteria; Pseudomonadales; Pseudomonadaceae. The record is from RNAcentral.
AGAGUUUGAUCCUGGCUCAGAUUGAACGCUGGCGGCAGGCCUAACACAUGCAAGUCGAGCGGAUGAGUGGAGCUUGCUCCAUGAUUCAGCGGCGGACGGGUGAGUAAUGCCUAGGAAUCUGCCUGGUAGUGGGGGACAACGUUUCGAAAGGAACGCUAAUACCGCAUACGUCCUACGGGAGAAAGUGGGGGAUCUUCGGACCUCACGCUAUCAGAUGAGCCUAGGUCGGAUUAGCUAGUUGGUGAGGUAAAGGCUCACCAAGGCGACGAUCCGUAACUGGUCUGAGAGGAUGAUCAGUCACACUGGAACUGAGACACGGUCCAGACUCCUACGGGAGGCAGCAGUGGGGAAUAUUGGACAAUGGGCGAAAGCCUGAUCCAGCCAUGCCGCGUGUGUGAAGAAGGUCUUCGGAUUGUAAAGCACUUUAAGUUGGGAGGAAGGGCAGUAAGUUAAUACCUUGCUGUUUUGACGUUACCAACAGAAUAAGCACCGGCUAACUUCGUGCCAGCAGCCGCGGUAAUACGAAGGGUGCAAGCGUUAAUCGGAAUUACUGGGCGUAAAGCGCGCGUAGGUGGUUCGUUAAGUUGGAUGUGAAAGUCCCGGGCUCAACCUGGGAACUGCAUCCAAAACUGGCGAGCUAGAGUAUGGCAGAGGGUGGUGGAAUUUCCUGUGUAGCGGUGAAAUGCGUAGAUAUAGG